GAGUUUGAUCCUGGCUCAGGAUGAACGCUGGCGGCAUGCCUAAUACAUGCAAGUCGAACGAGAGGAAGGAAAGCUUGCUUUUCUGAAUCUAGUGGCGAACGGGUGAGUAACACGUAGGUAACCUGCCCUUGUGCCCGGGAUAACUUCUGGAAACGGAUGCUAAAACCGGAUAGGUAGCAGACAAGCAUUUGACUGCUAUUAAAGUGGCUAAGGCCAUGAACAUGGAUGGACCUGCGGUGCAUUAGCUAGUUGGUGAGGUAACGGCCCACCAAGGCGACGAUGCAUAGCCGGCCUGAGAGGGCGGACGGCCACAUUGGGACUGAGACACGGCCCAAACUCCUACGGGAGGCAGCAGUAGGGAAUUUUCGUCAAUGGGGGGAACCCUGAACGAGCAAUGCCGCGUGAGUGAGGAAGGUCUUCGGAUCGUAAAGCUCUGUUGUAAGAGAAAAACGACAUUCAUAGGGAAUGAUGAGUGAGUGAUGGUAUCUUACCAGAAAGUCACGGCUAACUACGUGCCAGCAGCCGCGGUAAUACGUAGGUGGCGAGCGUUAUCCGGAAUGAUUGGGCGUAAAGGGUGCGUAGGUGGCAGAACAAGUCUGGAGUAAAAGGUAUGGGCUCAACCCGUACUGGCUCUGGAAACUGUUCAGCUAGAGAACAGAAGAGGACGGCGGAACUCCAUGUGUAGCGGUAAAAUGCGUAGAUAUAUGGAAGAACACCGGUGGCGAAGGCGGCCGUCUGGUCUGUUGCUGACACUGAAGCACGAAAGCGUGGGGAGCAAAUAGGAUUAGAUACCCUAGUAGUCCACGCCGUAAA
Molecule: ribosomal RNA, 813 nt
Filed under: uncultured bacterium
Lineage: Bacteria
Description: bacterial SSU rRNA
Rfam family: Bacterial small subunit ribosomal RNA
Source: RNAcentral